This 68-nucleotide microRNA precursor is filed under the name Bombyx mori (domestic silkworm). Its description in RNAcentral is "mir-2774 microRNA precursor family". It matches the Rfam family "mir-2774 microRNA precursor family". The record is from Rfam by way of RNAcentral. Lineage: Eukaryota; Metazoa; Arthropoda; Insecta; Lepidoptera; Bombycidae.
ACAACAUUCGGACCGUCGGUCGACCGAGCAAUAUCACCUGUUCGGUGGAAGGUCUUUCCUUUCGUCGU